This 202-nucleotide ribosomal RNA is filed under the name uncultured bacterium. RNAcentral's name for it is "partial 16S ribosomal RNA". It matches the Rfam family "Bacterial small subunit ribosomal RNA", at positions 524 to 726 of the family's 1533-position model. The record is from RNAcentral.
CACGUAGGGCGCGAGCGUUGUCCAGAAUUAUUGGGCGUAAAGAGCUCGUAGGCGGCCUGUUGCGUCCGCUGUGAAAGCCCGGGGCUUAACCCCGGGUCUGCAGUGGAUACGGGCAGGCUAGAGGUAGGUAGGGGAGAAUGGAAUUCCCGGUGUAGCGGUGAAUGCGCAGAUAUCGGGAGGAACACCGGUGGCGAAGGCGGUU